This 1468-nucleotide ribosomal RNA is filed under the name uncultured Parcubacteria group bacterium. RNAcentral describes it as "bacterial SSU rRNA". It matches the Rfam family "Bacterial small subunit ribosomal RNA". The record is from RNAcentral.
UUGAUCCUGGCUCAGGAUGAACGCUGGCGGUGUGGAUAAGGCAUGCAAGUCGAGCGGUUCGAUUUCGUCGCAAGACGAAAUCGAAUAGCGGCGAACGAGUUAGUAACACGUAGGAACUCACCCCAAAGACGGGAAUAACCCUCCGAAAGGAGGACUAAUACCCGAUGGCAUGAAGGUCAAAAUCUUCAUUAAAGUCGCAAGACGCUUUGGGAGAGGCCUGCGGGCUAUCAGCUAGUUGGUAGGGUAAUGGCCUACCAAGGCGAUGACGGCUAGGGGGCGCGAGAGCGUGUUCCCCAACGUAAGGGACUGAGACACGGCCCUAACUCCUACGGGAGGCAGCAGUCGAGAAUAUUUCGCAAUGGGCGAAAGCCUGACGAAGCGACACCGCGUGAAGGAAGAAGGCCCUCGGGUCGUAAACUUCUUUUGACAGAGAACAAGCCGCAAGGUUGAGCGUAUCUGUAGAAUAAGGCGCUGCUAACUUCGUGCCAGCAGCAGCGGUAAUACGAAGGCGCCAAGCGUUAUCCGGAUUUAUUGGGCGUAAAGAGUUCAAAGGGGGUCAUGUUAGUCCGAUGUNCAAGCUCGCAACUCAAUUGCGAAAGCGCGUCGGAAACGGCAUGACUUGAGGAAAUUAGAGGCAAGUAGAACGGCUGGUGUAGGGGUGAAAUCCGUUGAUAUCAGCCGGAAUACCAAAGGCGAAGGCAUCUUGCUGGAAUUUUCCUGACCCUGAAAGAACGAAAGCGUGGGUAGCGAAUGGGAUUAGAUACCCCAGUAGUCCACGCCCUAAACGAUGACAACUAGCUUUUCGGAGUAUCAACCCUCUGAGAGGCGAAGCUAACGCGUUAAGUUGUCCGCCUGGGUAGUACGGCCGCAAGGCUAAAACUCAAAGGAAUAGACGGGGACUUGUACAAGCAGUGGAUUAUGCGGUUUAAUUCGAUGUCGAACGAAGAACCUUACCAGGGUUAGAAAUCUAAGUGAAGAUACGCAGAAACGUGUGUCGUCCGCAAGGACAGUUAGACAGGUGAUGCAUGGCCGUCGUCAGUUCGUGGUUUGAAUUGUUCCCUUAAGUGGGGUAACGAACGCAACCCUCGUUGCCAGUUACAAGUGUCUGGCGAGACUGCCCCCGUUUUUGUUCAGAAAUUUUUUGUGGACAAAAACGGGGGAGGAAGGCGAGGAUGACGCCAGGUCAGCAUGUCCCUUGAUACCCUGGGCUACACGCAUAAUACAAUCGCCACUACAACAGGUUGCGACGGAGUAAUCCUGAGCUAAUCCUAAGAAAAGCGGCGUCAGUUCGGAUAGGGGGCUGCAACUCGACCCCUUGAAGCCGGAAUUGCUAGUAAUCGCGGGUCAGCUAUACCGCGGUGAAUACGUUCUCAAGUCUUGUACUCACCGCCCGUCAAGUCAGGGAAGUUGGGAGUGCUCAAAGUCUCACUUAUGUGAGCCUACGGUAAACUCAAUGACAAGGACUAAG